UCCUUAGAUGUUCUGGGCCGCACGCGCGCUACAAUGGUCUUCGCAAACGGAUGCAUUCUCGAAGGAGAAUGCCAAUCUUGGAAUCUAUGCCUUGGUCGGGACAGUUGCUUGCAAUUUUUCGACUCGAACCAGGAAUUCCUUGUAAUCGUGAUUCAUCACAUCACGAUGAAUACGUCCCUGCCCUUUGUACACACCGCCCGUCGCUCCUACCGAUCGAAGAGUUAGGUGAAUUGUUUUGAUCGAUAAGAUUUGACUAUGGUCAACUCUCGUUGUGAAAUUCUGUGAAUCUGACUGUUUAGAGGAAGGAAAAGUCGUAACA
Molecule: ribosomal RNA, 319 nt
Filed under: uncultured eukaryote
Lineage: Eukaryota
Description: partial 18S ribosomal RNA
Rfam family: Eukaryotic small subunit ribosomal RNA
Source: RNAcentral